RNAcentral lists this transfer RNA (59 nucleotides) under Sphyranura euryceae. RNAcentral describes it as "tRNA-His". The record is from RNAcentral. Lineage: Eukaryota; Metazoa; Platyhelminthes; Monogenea; Polystomatidea; Sphyranuridae.
AGUGAUGUAAGUUAUAUAAACUAUUGAUUUGUGGAAUCAAAAAAAUUUUAAUCUUCACU